This 460-nucleotide ribosomal RNA is filed under the name uncultured bacterium. RNAcentral's name for it is "partial 16S ribosomal RNA". It matches the Rfam family "Bacterial small subunit ribosomal RNA", at positions 338 to 795 of the family's 1533-position model. The record is from RNAcentral.
CCUACGGGAGGCUGCAGUGAGGAAUAUUGGUCAAUGGACGCAAGUCUGAACCAGCCAUGCCGCGUGCAGGAAGACGGCUCUAUGAGUUGUAAACUGCUUUUGUACGAGGGUAAACGCAGAUACGCGUAUCUGUCUGAAAGUACCGUAAGAAUAAGGAUCGGCUAACUUCGUGCCAGCAGCCGCGGUAAUACGGAGGAUUCAAGCGUUAUCCGGAUUUAUUGGGUUUAAAGGGUGCGUAGGCGGUCGGUUGAGUUAGAGGUGAAAUCCCGAGGCUCAACUUCGGAAUUGCCUUUGAUACUGUUCGGCGAGAGAGUAGUUGCGGUAGGCGGAAUGUAUGGUGUAGCGGUGAAAUGCUUAGAGAUCAUACAGAACACCGAUUGCGAAGGCAGCUUACCAAGCUACUUCUGACGUUGAGGCACGAAAGCGUGGGGAGCAAACAGGAUUAGAUACCCGUGUAGUC